CCUACGGGUGGCAGCAGUGGGGAAUAUUGGGCAAUGGGCGCAAGCCUGACCCAGCAACGCCGCGUGAAGGAAGAAGGCUUUCGGGUUGUAAACUUCUUUUUAGAGGGAAGAGAAGAAGACGGUACCUCCUGCCUAAGUCACGGCGAACUACGUGCCAGCAGCCGCGGUAAUACGUAGGUGGCAAGCGUUGUUCGGAUUUACUGGGUGUAAAGGGCGUGCAGCCGGGCUGACAAGUCAGAUGUGAAAUCCCGCGGCUCAACCGCGGAACUGCAUUUGAAACUGUCAGUCUGGAGUACCGGAGAGGUCAUCGGAAUUCCUUGUGUAGCGGUGAAAUGCGUAGAUAUAAGGAAGAACACCAGUGGCGAAGGCGGAUGACUGGACGGCAACUGACGGUGAGGCGCGAAAGCGUGGGGAGCAAACAGGAUUAGAUACCCCUGUAGUC
RNAcentral lists this ribosomal RNA (442 nucleotides) under uncultured bacterium. Its description in RNAcentral is "partial 16S ribosomal RNA". It matches the Rfam family "Bacterial small subunit ribosomal RNA", at positions 338 to 795 of the family's 1533-position model. The record is from RNAcentral.